GCAUGACUGUCGUCAGCUCGAGUCGUAAGAUGUUGGGUUAAGUCCCGAAACGAGCGCAACCCUUGUCCCUAGUUGCCAGCAAGUAAUGGUGGGAACUCUAGGGAGGCCGCCGGUGACAAACCGGAGGAAGGUGGGGAUGACGUCAAGUCAUCAUGGCCCUUACGGCCAGGGCUACACACGUACUACAAUGGGAAGGACAGAGGGCCGCGAUCCCGCGAGGGGGAGCCAAUCCCAGAAACCUUCUCUCAGUCCGGAUCGGAGUCUGCAACUCGACUCCGUGAAGUCGGAAUCGCUAGUAAUCGCAGAUCAGCAUUGCUGCGGUGAAUACGUUCCCGGGCCUUGUACACACCGCCCGUCACACCAUGGGAGUGGGUUGCUCCAGAAGUCGCUAGUCUAACCUUCGGGGGGACGGUGACCACGGAGUGAUUCAUGACUGGGGUGAAGUCGUAACAAGGUA
RNAcentral lists this ribosomal RNA (457 nucleotides) under uncultured Lysobacter sp. RNAcentral's name for it is "bacterial SSU rRNA". It matches the Rfam family "Bacterial small subunit ribosomal RNA", at positions 1043 to 1498 of the family's 1533-position model. The record is from RNAcentral. Lineage: Bacteria; Pseudomonadati; Pseudomonadota; Gammaproteobacteria; Lysobacterales; Lysobacteraceae.